GAACUCUCAAAAUUAUGGAUUCUUCCCAUAGCAAGUUUUAUGUACAAAUUAAGGCCUCAAUACUAGUACUGCCCAAAUUCAAGUAAGAAUCCCUGCCCCUACACCUCGAAGGCUUUGAUCAUGGAUAUUGCAAGACGUGUUCGGUUUAAACUAGGGGCAACUUGAUCCUUUACUGCCUCGCCACCUACCUUAAAUUACAUGGUGAGUUUCUUUCUUCCAAUUGAUGUGCAUCCUGCCUAAGGUUUCUGUCAAUUGCAACCCCGCCUGGGGCUGACGAGCUCGUGUGGAUAAAAUCAUCAAUUAUUUCAUUGUUUUGCAGUGACAAGACAACCCCAUUACAUAUCCCUUCUCCCCUAACAUCCAAACCUGUGCCCAUUAGGACUUCAUACCCUACACUGUCAACACGAGGAAGACCGUUUGCCGCAUCAUUUCCACCAAAAUGAAUUUAUGAGUGGAUCCACAAUCAUUUGACAUCACCAUCUCAUGUGCAAUCAUCCUUUGACGUUCAUAUUCUUUGGGGGGAAUCAAGCCCAUCUUGGAAUCAGGGGGUAGUUCCACCUAGUCCCCAUAAUUUUCAUUUCUUCCUCAUCGAUUGCCUCUUAAUUACCGUUGCACCUAAUUUCUCUCCACAGAUAUUUAAGAUGUGAAGCUUCUUCUGUUUACAUUUGUGCCCUAUCAAGUAUUUCUCAUCACAUCUUAAGUAGAGGCCACCCUUUUCCCACUUUGCUUGAAGUUGUGCAUCAUUUGUAGGGUCAUGGAAAUUUUGGGAUUGUCGAUGUCUUUGGUGGAAUUGGAGAUAUGGGUUUUUGGGAUUCUCACCAUCAAACACCGCCAUGUUUGAUUUCCAUGGCCUUUGCUGUUGACAAUUUUUUUCUGCAUCUGUGCAUAUUUACUCCACAGCAACCAAGUCCCACACACCGCCUGCUUCUUGCCCCUGCAAACAUAGGUGGAUUAGAGGUCUAACAAAGUCCCAUACCUUCAAAGUCGUGAAACAAGGGAUGGCCACUAAAAGCCUGAAACUGUCUUAUUACAUUCUGAUUGAGGGAGUUUGUGAACACUACCAAAAACAGUGUGUUCAGCGUUAACGAACUUGUCAUGGUCCAACGACUUUCCUCUCAUUGAAACCACGCCAAGGCCUCUCUGUCAAAACAUACAGCCUAUGCCUCGAGCUUUUCCUCAUUCUACAUCGAGUGCACAACAAAGAAACACUCAUCUCUAAAUAUCUAACUAUCGGGAUUCUCACCAUCAAACCCUUGUUUCACAACUUCAAUUUCCUUGGCCUUUGAUGGUGACAAUUUUUCCCUGCAUCUGUACGUCAUAGCAACCAAGUCCCACACACUUCCUGAAACUGUUAGAGGUCUAUCAAAGUCCCAUACUUCAAAGUUGUGAAAAAAGGGUGGGCUACUAAAAGCCUGAAACUGCUUUGUUACAUUUUGAUUGAGGAAUUUUGUGAACACUACUAAAAACACAUACCACUUAAAAGUAUCCUUGUUCCAUUUGUUGGUCUUGUGUUGCCAAAGUUUUUGACAACCGGUGCUAGUAUAUAGAUUCGAGAAUUAACAUCUUGCUUAAUCUAUUUUACGCUCUUUAUAUCAGUUAUAUUAAUUUUUCUUUAGCUAGGUAUCCUUUUCUCAGUAGCUUAUGUUCAUCUUCUUGGUGAUGCAAAUGAUUCCAGUUACUGGAGGAAAUAGGACACAAGACAGUUCUUCCUUCUGUGUUGAGACCUAUCAUUCAAAUAGAUGGGUAAAUUAGAAUGAUAUAUAGUAAGUAAGAGCUGAUUUGAUCUUAAGAUCUGUUUUUUUUUCCAAUUUCUCUUCUUUUUGAAUUAAGUAUCCAAAUGUUUAGGACCUACAGUGUUAGUCAGGUCUGCCAUUGCUUUGGAGAAAGACAAUAUUCGUAGAGUUGAGUAUUGUAAUGGAGCCUGACUACCAUUCAUUGUUGGAUUUUUAUACAGUAAAUAUAUUAUGUGAAAAAAUAACUAAGUAGAUCAAGUGCCCAAUUGGUAAAAAGUGUGGAAUUUGUGUGGGAGGUCGGGGGGUUAUUUUCCAACAUUCAUAUCCAAAGAUAGUUAAGUUAGGUGGUUUGUAUCCUUCUAACAAUCUAAUGUUCGAUUAUUUUGUGGACGCGGUUAUGUAACUGAAGAUCUAUCUUUCUCUGUCUCAGGGGAUCCCUUUUUGAAAUUAUUCAAUGAUAUGGAUUCAUGCAAUGCCAUACUGAAGGAGGUUACCAAAGUUAUCAUAUACCUUUUUGUUGCUGUGGUUACCUUUUGAGCUCCAUCACUGUUUUUUAGAGGGUUCAUGUAGAAUUUGUUGAUAAAUGUCAACCACAUGAUGUCUUCCUCAUAAUUUUCUUAAUGAUUAUAACAGUCCUGUGCUUGUUAACUCUCGAUGUGUAAUUCUACGUAAAACCAUUCUUUCUGAAGGGAUACUGGAAAAUGAAGUCCCAAUUUUAG
Molecule: long non-coding RNA, 2452 nt
Filed under: Olea europaea subsp. europaea
Lineage: Eukaryota; Viridiplantae; Streptophyta; Magnoliopsida; Lamiales; Oleaceae
Source: RNAcentral